Molecule: ribosomal RNA, 403 nt
Filed under: uncultured bacterium
Lineage: Bacteria
Description: bacterial SSU rRNA
Rfam family: Bacterial small subunit ribosomal RNA
Source: RNAcentral
UAUUGCACAAUGGGCGCAAGCCUGAUGCAGCCAUGCCGCGUGUAUGGAGAAGGCCUUCGGGUUGUAAAGUACUUUCAGCGGGGAGGAAGGGAGUAAAGUUAAUACCUUUGCUCAUUGACGUUACCCGCAGAAGAGGCACCGGCUAACUCCGUGCCAGCAGCCGCGGUAAUACGGAGGGUGCAAGCGUUAAUCGGAAUUACUGGGCGUAAAGCGCACGCAGGCGGUUUGUUAAGUCAGAUGUGAAAUCCCCGGUCUCAACCUGGGAACUGCAUCUGAUACUGGCAAGCUUGAGUCUCGUAGAGGGGGGUAGAAUUCCAGGUGUAGCGGUGAAAUGCGUAGAGAUCUGGAGGAAUACCGGUGGCGAAGGCGGCCCCCUGGACGAAGACUGACGCUCAGUGCGAAA